AGUGCUUAAUUGUGACGGUGGCUGGAUUCGUGGUCAUCUUCUUGGUGGGCAGUUACAAUGAGUCGGCCUUCCCUUACGCCUUACGCCAUUGUCGGCAUUGUACUCACCACUCUCAUGAUACAGCAGUUCCUAUCGGGAAUAUUCCAUCUGUGUGUGGACAAGGAGGGUGGUAAGACCCCCCCCCUGAAAAGAUUGCCUAUCGCAAGUAUUGGGAACUUCAUCAUACCAUCUUAGGUUAAUUCCUCACCAUAGCGAUAGGACUGGGACAGGUGACUCUGGGGGUCUUCUUAACCAAUGCCCCCUUGAUUGUGUAGGAUGUGUGGGCGGGUCUGGGAGGGGUCUGGGAGGCGCCUGGCUGAUUGUGUGUGUUAUGCACGAGUGUGUCUACGUCUGUUGCAAGAUAGCUCACAGAGGGCAGAAAGGUUUAUAAGGCAAUCAGUAGAACAUUGACUCUUCCCACACAUAUAAUUAUUACAUGGCAUGUUUUAUCUUUCCCAAAUUAUGUAGCUAUACAUCCACUCUGUUAUAAGCUAGAGUAUAUACAUCUAUUCCUGGUUUAUAAUACCGGUACUUGUAUAUAAUACAUAUGUGCCAAGGGUGUAUUUUCUCUUUGUAUAUACGUGCCCUGAUUGUGCUAUAUAUGUUGUCACCAACCAGAACAAACCCAGUGUUACAACUGUACUUAGCCAUGGCAUUGAAAGCAUAGUUGCCAUUUUCAUCAGAAGUAGAACUACUGUGUGUCACAAAACCUGCAUGCAUAAUCACAGUAAAAACACAUUCGUUACAGUAGCAUAAAACAUAAUUUUUUGACAUUUCAUGUAGAAAUAACAUAAAUUUCUGUCAUUUUAACUAAAAUACGAUUAUGCAUCUCAUUAUAACAUAAGUGUUUUGCUGUAUACCGUAUUACUAGAAUGUUUUGUGAGCAUCAAACAUUUGCGAACUUUGUGAUGGUUGAUUAAUUCGCAACAAUUAAAAUCCGCAAAACCUAAACUAUUACUAGUAAAUACACAUGAUCCUUGCCAGAACGCAAUAGUUAGAUCGCAAAGGGUCAAAUUUUCUGGCUCAUUCACAAAGGUUUUUCACCAGCAAAAUAUUCUAGUGAUACGGUAGUAGCUUCAUAAAUUAUUAUGUAGCUUUAAUUGACCACCUAUAUGACCACCGAGGCAUCAGGACCCGUGGUAUAUAUAUAUUGUGAGGAAUCGAAUUUAACGACAGUUUCAUUUUCACAGGCCACCAACAAAAUCACACUAGAGUAGCCUCCUCUACUAUAAAUGGUGUCAUAGGAGAUUCCAUAAUAAUUAAUUUGUAUUCAUCAACUGCCAUUUUAGAACAUGGUAACGCUUAGGCCAAAUAAGCGUCUGUAGUAUAUGAAUAAAAAGAUUCCCAUAUACAUACAGCUUCAACAAGGAUCACCUUGGGGUCAUUCCACAUCAAUUCAACAACAAAAAAAGUGACCGUCUCAGAUUUGGACGAAACUUGGCACAUAAGUAGUAUAUGAGGUGACAUUGAUGCAACACAAGUUUUAAGCUCUUUUUAUUUUAUAGCUUCCGGGUUAUGAAUAUAUCGAAAUCUGUACACUGGUAAUGCCCAGUUUUUCAGUUUUAAUUUUCAAAGUUUUGCACUUUACUAUCUUAUAGUACAGAAAAUUCUCUUUCACGUGAUAUGUUAUAUGGCUUCAAUCAAUAAAGUAGCUGCGGGGAGGGUGUUAAUUAGAACUUUAAUUACUUAAAAAGUGGUGUUUUAAUUUUCCCGAAAAUGGUUCCUAAUUUAUUUUUAUUUUUAUUUUGGGGCAUAAUCUAAUAUCUGUACGAAUUUGGUUUGGGGUUUCUAUAUAUAAUUAUAUGGGCUCGAGAGAGAGAGAUACAAAUCAAAAUGUGGUGACACAUUCCAUUCCCUUACAUACCGUAUUACUAGAAUGUUUUACGAGCAUCACAAACAUUUGCAAACUUUAAUUUGUGAUAGUUGAUCACAAUAAAAUCUGCAAAACCUAAAUUAUACUAGUAAGUAGAGUAAAGGAUGGAAAUUCAAGCUACAUGAAAAUCCGGACGAUUUAGCACGACGGCUAGCAAAAACAGAAAGAGCUAUGCAGAAACUAACUGACACAUAAAGAGAAACAUACCUUGUAAUCGAUCUGGUGCGGUAUCAGCUUCACAGCUUUCCUCAUAAUGAGGUAUUGAGCAUGCAAAAUAAACGUGCAGAUAAUUGCAUUUUCGGAGAAUGCUAUGCAAUUUCGAGUUGAGCUACUUAGAGCAUCAAUUAGCUAAAUCUGAGGGUGCCAUCAGCUUUUUCAUGUCCACUUUACUCAGGAUUAACCUUUAGCUGAGCAGAAACAGCUGCACUGCUGCACAAAACUUGCUGAGAAGUAUUUGCACAAAACUGCUAGGUCAGCAUUAAUACCUACAAGUCAAUUAUCGAGGGCUAGCCGCACCUUGCUGUUGCUAUGGUAUUAAUGCUGACCUAGCACUUUUUGUGCGAAUACUUCUCAGCAAGUUUUGUGCAGCAGUGCAGCUGUUUCUGCUCAGCUAAAGGUUAAUCCUGAGUAAAGUGGACAUGAAAAAGCUGAUGGCACCCUCAGAUUUAGCUAAUUGAUGCUCUAAGUAGCUCAACUCGAAAUUGCAUAGCAUUCUCCGAAAAUGCAAUUAUCUGCACGUUUAUUUUGCAUGCUCAUUACCUCAUUAUGAAGAAAGCUGUGAAGCUGAUACCGCACCAGAUCGAUUACAAGGUAUGUUUCUCUUUAUGUGUCAAGUUAGUUUCUGCAUAGCUCUUUCUGUUUUUGCUAGCGGUCGUGCUAAAUCGUCCGGAUUUUCAUGUAGCUUGAAUUUCCAUGCUUUACUCUACACACGAUCCUUGCCAGAACGCAAUAGUCAGAUCGCAAAGGGUCAAAUUUUCUGCUCAUUUGGCUCAUUUGCAAAGGUUUAUCACCCGCAAAAUAUUCUAGUGAUACGGUAUAGUAUAGUCUACAUGAAUGCUGCACCGAAGAACAUCAUGCACAGCGAUACAGAUUGGCUGACAGCUUAGAAUGAUGCAGGCUGAAACAAGAAAAACUAUCAUAUUAAUAGUAAAUUGAGUUUGUUCAUUUCAAACAGCACCAUGCAUUACAUGUAUCCUCAUAUUAUUGCAUGCACACUUUUAAUUGAUACCCUGAAAUCACUCUCAGCUAGAUCUAUAGUGAACUAUUCCUAAAAUUAUGUUAGCAGUAUCCCUCAUUCUAAAAUACCAUUACGUAUGUGCCCUAUAUUAUUGCUCUGCAUGCAUGCACAUGCAUGAGCUGUUAAUUGAUACCACCCUGAGAUCAUUGUAACCGAUCCCUAUUAACAGUAAAUUGAGCAUUAAACAGCACAAUUCAUGCCCCACGUACUGUUGACGGUUAAUUUUGAUCUAUAAUUAUGUUGUAUACUACAUGUUUCGCUGAAUAAAAGAGAAUGGUUAUAAUAAUUAUAUAGGCAAUGUCUCAGGCUCGAGCAUAAUCUACCAAGGCCUAUAAUUAUAGAUAUCAGCUAGGUCCAUUGAGAACAGCAUUGCGGGAUAUAUAUAACAUGCUGUUUGUUUAGCCAUGCAUACAGGUUUAGCCAGCUGCUGUGAUCAUAAAAGAUACAUUCAAAAACAACUGUGAAAGCAAACUGUUGACAAUAGAAAUGAAUUAAUACAACCUUACCAUUAUUGAAAUAAACAAACAUCAAUUCAACUUAGUGCUUGAUUUCUCCAUAAGCCUGGUUCGACUGCAUCUCAAUGUUUCGCUUUACCGUCUAUAGAGUAGGAUAAUCCGCAUUACAUAAAUCUAUAGCUUUAUGAUCCUCACUUGUCCAUAAGCUUCAUUAAACUCCACUUGAAUGUCUUGUGUUCCUUGUGUCACUACUAGACCAACUUCCUUGUAUACCGGACCAGCUGAGGCUUUUGGAGCUUCAUUGCCUGGCAGUUGGCUAUCUAUUUAGACAAAUCACAUAGUUAAUAUUGUAUUCGCAAACAAUUGUCACCUUUACUUUUUCUUUUCUUGGCUAAGAGAGCUAUCAUUACCAGGACAAGCAGUAAUAACACUAACAGGCCGCCAGUAACACCUCCAGCUACAGAAGCAACGUUCCCACCAGUGGGAGCUGCCACACCUAUAUAGGCCAUUAUGCAGCAUACAUGCAUGCAUGCUGGCAGACACAAAUCAAUGAACUCACACUCCAAUAAAGUCCGGUCAGGAUACCAGAGACCAGAGUUGUUACAAGUGGCAGUCGCUGCACCCACCAGUGAGAACUCAGGAUCACAUUGGAAGACGAUCUCCUCUGGAUUCUUGUCCCACUCUCCUGUAGCUAAACAUGUGGCACUCAUUAUGCCCUCAGGGAAUAGUCGAUCGUCACACUGGAAGGUAACUCGUGUACCAGGUAUAGCUGGUACUGAAUGACUGCUGA
Halichondria panicea is the source of this 4394-nucleotide long non-coding RNA. RefSeq lists it as uncharacterized. The transcript is spliced from 4 exons. The record is from RefSeq and is a predicted model, not a curated record. Lineage: Eukaryota; Metazoa; Porifera; Demospongiae; Suberitida; Halichondriidae.